Long non-coding RNA from Hypanus sabinus (Atlantic stingray), 1783 nucleotides. RefSeq lists it as uncharacterized. The transcript is spliced from 4 exons. Lineage: Eukaryota; Metazoa; Chordata; Chondrichthyes; Myliobatiformes; Dasyatidae. The record is from RefSeq and is a predicted model, not a curated record.
UUGGAAAUCUCUUAUAAGGCAGAAAUCCUAUGAGUCUUAAAUGUGUUUUAAGAAUUUUAUCUUCAUUUAAAUGUAUCUUUAAAAAUAAAUGAACUGUUUAUACUACUUUGUUAGUUGGAAGUAUCUCCGUCUUGGUGGGGGGAGGGACCCACUGCUCAAAUAGUGGAUAUUGGCAGCUAAAUUUGCCAUGGAAGAUAAACAGGGACGUGAUCUAGCCUUUGAAGAGCAGCUGGCUACAGUAUAAACUCCCUUUAGUGAGGGUACUUAUAGCUAUCUAUAUCAGAUAGAGCUUAAGAUCCUUGUUUGAAUUCAGGACUUCAUGGAUACCAAUACCAUCACAUUGUCAGAGAUACUGUCUAUCAGAUGAAACCUCUGCUACAGUCCCAUUUUUCAUUUCAGGUUUAUGUAUUGUGCUGUUUUCCCUCCAUUAACAUUGUUCAAACAGAUUUAUUGAGAUACAACACGGAACAGGCCCUUCCUGCUUUUUGAGCUGUGCUGUCCAGCAAACCCCCGAUUUAAUCCCAGCCUAAUCACCAGAUGGUUUACAAUGGCCCAUUAACCUGCCAACCCAGAUGCUUUUGGACUGUGGGAGGAAACUGGAGCACCUGGAGGAAACCCAUGCAGUCGUGGGGAGAAUGUACAAAUGCCUUACAGGAAACAGCAGGAUUUGAACCCAGUCCAGUAUUGGAGAGUGAAGGCAUUACCGGAGUUAUACGAGUUCAAAGGAUUGGAUAAAGUUAAUGUUGUUCAGCGUCUUGGGAAUGAUAGACCUUUGUGACUUCGUUCAGCUAUUGUGGCAUGCACAUUUGAGAUAAACCCCUGCAAAGUUGGGAAGGUUUGUGCAGUGACCACCAUACAGUCAAAAGGUGCAUGGGGUUCUGUCAGAGUUCGUGAUCACCAGCUGCACUCAAACUGUCUUUCUUUAUGGUGAUGGUUCCUGCUUCGCUGAGCUCGCUGACGGGUUGUUUCGAUAUCCCCAGGAUGCAGCCUAGAAGACGUGUGCUUUCAUGGUGCAGCUCUGCAGCCUUGCGGAUGAACCGAUUCCAUGUCGGUGUUGCCGAUUGAGGCAUCGCAGGAGACAAAGCGGCUUCUUUUGAAGACCGUGACCUUGAAUUACAUGCAGGCUUCAGUUCUUUGUGGGAAUGGGACCAGUUCUCAGGCUUCCACGACUAGCUGUUAUUCGACAAGCCAAGGGUUUGGCCUGAGAGUCUCGAUUGUGUUCAGAAGCCUAAGAUCUCGGGGCUCUGGAAACGGGUGGAUUGAGGGUUGGUGUCAUGGCAGGAGACUCGUGUGUCGUCAGGGAGGCUGGAAAAUCUCUCGCUGUGGGCCCAAAGACCCGAGGUCUUUGUGAUCUUCAGGCACAGAGCUUGAAAAAAGCGAUGAAGCUGACUUUUAACUCAUAAACCAGCGGGUUGUUGUUAUGUCUCCCACUCGAUGUGAAAAUCGGGGACACCUCCUUCUCCCUUACCAGGGAGAGAGAGAAGCAGUGGUUUGUUGAAUGUCGGAUGAAAUGCAAAACCUUUGGAGUAAUUUUGGUCUGUGUCUUUGCUAUUGUUUAACUCACGCUUGUGCUCGGUAGCAGGUGCGCAUUUAUUUUUGCUGGUAGGGGAAGGGGGGGAUCGUUGCUUGCUGCCGCUUAUGCGCAGGAGAGGGGAGUUGGGGGGACUUUGGGGUUCUCACGUUUAACUGUCAUUCAUUCUUUGGGGCACUUCUUUGUGGAUGUUUGUGAAGAAAAAGCAUUUCAAGAUGUAUAUUGUAUGAAGUACAUUUCUCUGAAAUUAAA